UACGAAGGGGGCUAGCGUUGUUCGGAAUCACUGGGCGUAAAGCGCACGUAGGCGGAUCUUUAAGUCAGAGGUGAAAUCCCAAGGCUCAACCUUGGAACUGCCUUUGAUACUGGGGAUCUUGAGUCCGGGAGAGGUGAGUGGAACUGCGAGUGUAGAGGUGAAAAUUCGUAGAUAUUCGCAAGAACACCAGUGGCGAAGGCGGCUCACUGGCCCGGUACGUGACGCUGAGGUGCGGAAAGCGUGGGGAGCAAACAGGG
RNAcentral lists this ribosomal RNA (257 nucleotides) under uncultured bacterium. Its description in RNAcentral is "partial 16S ribosomal RNA". It matches the Rfam family "Bacterial small subunit ribosomal RNA", at positions 524 to 777 of the family's 1533-position model. The record is from RNAcentral.